GGAAGUAAAAGCGUAACAAGGUCUCCGUUGGUGAACCAGCGGAGGGAUCAUUACCGAGUGCAAACUCAUAACCCUUUGUGAACCUAUAUCUGUUGCUUCGGCGGCUCGCUCUCGGGCGAGCCCGCCGGUAAUAUCAGUAUCUCUGUUUGAACCCGACGAUACUUCUGAGUGUUCUUAGCGAACAGUUAAAACUUUUAACAACGGAUCUCUUGGCUCUA
This 218-nucleotide unclassified non-coding RNA is filed under the name plant metagenome. RNAcentral describes it as "partial contains small subunit ribosomal RNA, internal transcribed spacer 1, and 5.8S ribosomal RNA". The stretch from base 1 to 53 matches the Rfam family "Eukaryotic small subunit ribosomal RNA", at positions 1778 to 1831 of the family's 1831-position model. The record is from RNAcentral.